AGUUGGUUUCUUCCUUCCCCUUCCACCUCUGUAGAAGUGGAAGGAGAUGGAUCGGCUGUUCCUUGGGGUUAUGGAGGUGCCUAGGGAUCUUGAGCUGUUCAGAAACAUGAGUGUAAAACUCACACUGACCCACUUCAGGACCGAGGAGCCUUCCCAUGGAAAAUUGUGGGGAAGGGACCAAGUCAAUGAGGCUUCUGGCACAGCAUAGCGUAGUGGUUAGAGUGUUGGACUAGGACCGGGAAGAACCGAGUUCAAAUCCCUAUUCAACCAUGAAACUCACUGGGGGACUCUGAGCCAGGCCAGUCAUGUAUCUCUCAGCCUAACCUACCUCACAGGGUUGUUGUGAAGAUAAACAUGACCAUUUACACCACUCUGAGCUCUUCGGAGAAAAAGCAGGAUAUAAAUGUAAACAUAAAAUAAAAAUAAAUAAAUGGAAAGGUGGCUUAAGCACUACCAGUCCCCCCAACAGAAAACCAGAGGCUGUGAACUUGGGGCACAUUGAAGUGUCUAAUGGGAAUGGGGAAAAUGCAUGCUAUGCAAGCUGGUCCACAGGAAUCGUGCACAUUUUGGAGGGAGAAAGGGGGCCUUUCUUAAAGAGACAAGGACAAUAGACAAGCAUGUAGCUCUCUUCUUUGGUCUUCACACAUUACUCAAGGGCGGUAGUUUUAAUUCUUGUACAAGGGAGGUGUCUGAUUGACCUUGAGUCUUCUCCCAACCAUGUGUCACCUUAAGUGGCACAGAGGGGAAAUGCUUGACUAACAAGCAGAAGGUUGCCAGUUCAAAUCCCCACUGGUACUAUAUAUCGGGCAGCAGCGACAUAGGAUGAUGCUGAAAGGCAUCAUCUCAGACUGUGUGGGAGGAGGCACUGGUGAACCCCUCCUGUAUUCUACCAAAAGAAAACUACAGGGCUCUGUGGGAGCUGGGAGUCGAAAUCGACUUGACGGCACUUUAGCUUUACCUUCUCCCAACCGCUUGCAUUGUGCCAGUUUCUGAAAACUCCAAGCCAGGAAACUGGCUCAAUACUGAUAUGCUUAUCAAUCUAUACCAGUCUUCAGUCUUGUUAUGCAGCUUGGCCAUACCAUCAGACUGCUACUAGACUGGUGUGGUCUUUCCUGAUCCAUUCUUCUGUUGUUAUUAUUUUACAUUUAUAUCCUGAGGUGCCCAGGAUGCCAAAUCAAUGAUCCUGGUUGCAUUUCUGUGUCUGCAAGCCAGAUCAUGGAUACAAUGGGGGUGUUGUCAGGGGAUGGAAGCAAGGGGUUCAGGCUGUUCUGCCUGCAACAAGGAGGCAUGUAGUGCAGAAACACAAGCUCUCAAAGACAGGUUCUACUCCCUCCCCACUGGAGGCACAAGACUCAUCUGCAGGAAAGGGCUGUUUUGCUACAGGAGGAAGCAGGACAAGCAACGAGGAGAGCUCACACUGAACUCCUGGGGGAAGUGUUGGUAGCUCACUGCACUGAAUUCUGGGUUGGGAGCUGGAUAAGCUGAGCAAGUCCAGCCAGAAAGGAUAGUAGAAUUAAAGCUGAACUUGCCUUUAUGUACCUGGUCAGCAGCACCCAUCUCAGAAGCAAAAGAUGGAGAUCAAGCAGGCAAGUCUCAAAGUCACAGUGCACAUAACAGAAAGCUACUCACCCACAGCAGAUGGGGAAAGACUGACAUAUCAAGGGGUGUUUGUCAUCCUUCAGUUGCCUUCAGCUCUCAGACUCAGCCAUGUAUACCAGAGAUAAGGAGACUGCAUUUAGAGCCAGAGCCCUGUGGAACAGCACAGGUCUUGUGACCAAGAUAUUCCAGCUUCAAACUCACCAGAAAAGACUGGGAGAGAUCCCCAUGAACAGGCACACCUGAGAGAAUGCAGUGUCUCCGCCAAUCCGAGGGAGAGCUGUAUGAACCAAUCACCUGGCUCUCUAGUUACCUUUUGCAUUAGUUGUUGCAUCUAGCCACACACAACCCAUGUUUGUUUGCUUGAUUGCCUGGGUGACCAGCAGCCCUUAUACUCCCUAUAUCCUCCACCCCAGUUGACUGCUUCUUUCAUCAUGGCAGAAGUGAUCUAGCUGCAUGUGAACCCUGAGGAGCCUUCCUCUCCCGUUCCCUCACUGGAGCUCAUGGGGCCAGAGUUGGGAAGUUGUAGAAAGGAUCCUGCCUCUUCAGAGUCCCAUUCUGAAGCCAGCUAAGGUCCCAAGGAUGCAGUACAAGUCUUGAAUCAGUGCUAAAAGUCAUUGAUGGCCUGGAUGAGGAUGAACAACCUGAAUCUUAAGCCAGACAGGACACAAGACUGUUAAGUGACAAUAUGUUCAAUACAGGCAUAGGUAUUCAACCUGUCUGUGCUGGAGAGGGUCACUCUCGCUAAAGACUCAGGUUCACAGCUUGAAGUACAUCUGAGGUGAUGUCAGUAGACAGAAAUACAUUGGCUACCUGCGACCUUUCCUGAACACAAAUGAACUAACCAUGGUAAUUCAUGUCAUCUAAAUUUGACUAUUGUAGUUUUAUGUGGGACUGCCUUUGAAAAGUGUCCAGAAGCUACAACUGGUUCCAAAAGUGGCAUGUAGGUUGUUGACUGGACCACAGACAAUUUUGAUCACGUAGAAUAUAGUACAAUUUUAUUACAGUUUCAUUGGUUUCUAGAUCAAAUUUAAAGUGCUGACUUUGACGCUUAACAUUCUGCAUGGUCUGGGCCCAGAAUACCUUAAGAACCACCUGCAUGUGUUGAGACCUUCCUGGGAGGCUCUGCUUCACAUCCCACUCCCCACCUUCUGAAAUACCACAUGAGUGGGACUGGUCUACAACACCAUGGAACUCCCUCUUAGGGAAGUCUGCCUCACUUUUCCAUACUGACUUUUAGAUGACAGGCCAAGGCUGUCUUCUUCCAGAUGGUGUUUUUAUUGCCCUGAUUAACCUUUUCCUGUUUCUACUUCCGAUUCAUGUUUAUUUUUAUAGGGUGUAUUCAAAAUUUGGUGUGAUUAUAUAUUACUAGCUGCCUUGGAUAUAGCUCUAAUUGAAGGACAGGUUAUACAUAUUUUAAUAAAUAAAAGGCAGGUCUUAAACUGACCUCCCUUCCCUUAAUUUUUUUAUUUUUCUUAACGCCUUUUCUAUUAUUACAUGGUCUAAUAGCAUAAGCUCAAAAACACUAAAAUUAUGAAUUCUGUAUGUAAUAUCCAUGUUGAAGGAAGGCGACUUCAAACUCAAAGAAGAUGUAGAAAGCAAUUGGAAUCCUACUGACUACGUUUGGAAAAUAUGCCUGUUACACUUGGCAAAAUGGAGGUUUAGAGCUGAGAUCAGUGGUGGAAUGGUCGAUGGGGGAUGAUAGCUUAUUGGAGCUAAACACCAAACAGAUAGUUAAGAUGUGGAGACAACAGUUGGUAUAGGUGCUUCUGAAAGCUGUGCUCACAUGUUGUAAUGCUUUGAAAAGGGACAAAUAUGAAGUUUAAUUAGAAAGGUAGAUGAACAUGUGGAACAUCUCAGAGGUAGUUACCAUAGGCUAUGUUUGGACUAAGGAUGAAUAUUGUAAAAAUAUAAGUCAGACUGCCACUUUUGACUUGCUUUUCCUGGGAUUAAUUUAGAUGCCAUUGUAAAACCAUCAGGAAGCUCCCACCUUCCUUUCCCCACUUGUGUAUGUGUGCAGACCGUCUCUGUUUUCUUAGUUAGUGGUUGCCAUAGUUUGCCUCCAAAACGUGUUUGCUAUUAUGGCUGAAUCAAACAAUGGUUACUACAGACCAGGAAAUGGAAGUGGGUGUGCAUGAGGAGAGGAGGGGGUGCACACAAAUCGGCAGCACAGUCCUGGCCAUCAUUUGGCCUGAAACCAGGAAUGGUAGCUGGCGAUACACUUUUUACGUCCAGAUUUUUGUAGUAUUAAUAUCAACCAUAACAAGUUCAGAGAGCCAACCAGUCUGGAGACUGGAUGAUAAACCAUCAAGCUUGAUAGUGGUGUGAGAAGUAACAUCCUUUAAAUUGUUUCCCCCCCUGAGGUUUGUAGAUACCUUGAGGUAAUGUAGCAGCACAUAAUGGUUUGUGGAUUUCGAAAGGUGCAGGCCAUGUUGUGCUGCCUCAGAAAUUCAAGGAUUUCUUCCCCAUGAAAAGAAGCUUCUUCUUGGACAAUUAUAUAGGUUUUUUGUGUCAGCUGUGCCUUAGCAGCACAUAAAUAUUGGAGCUAUUAUUAGUAAAGCACCUCCAAUACUAAUUGUGCUGCUGAAGUAAGGCUGAUGUAUUCUUGCACAAGUCUCUUGGAGCAUAUGGUUAUAUAACUAACCAAUAGUGUGCUUAAUCAUAUGUAUCAUAUCAAUUAGUGUUGAUUAACUGUUAACUUCAAUAAACAUUUCUAGAACUGAA
Molecule: long non-coding RNA, 4320 nt
Organism: Hemicordylus capensis (graceful crag lizard)
Lineage: Eukaryota; Metazoa; Chordata; Lepidosauria; Squamata; Cordylidae
Exons: 2
Source: RefSeq, a predicted model, not a curated record